Molecule: ribosomal RNA, 1359 nt
Filed under: uncultured bacterium
Lineage: Bacteria
Description: bacterial SSU rRNA
Rfam family: Bacterial small subunit ribosomal RNA
Source: RNAcentral
GAUGAACGCUAGCUACAGGCUUAACACAUGCAAGUCGAGGGGCAGCAUUUCAGUUUGCUUGCAAACUGGAGAUGGCGACCGGCGCACGGGUGAGUAACACGUAUCCAACCUGCCGAUAACUCGGGGAUAGCCUUUCGAAAGAAAGAUUAAUACCCGAUGGUAUAAUCAGACCGCAUGGUCUCGUUAUUAAAGAAUUUCGGUUAUCGAUGGGGAUGCGUUCCAUUAGGCAGUUGGUGAGGUAACGGCUCACCAAACCUUCGAUGGAUAGGGGUUCUGAGAGGAAGGUCCCCCACAUUGGAACUGAGACACGGUCCAAACUCCUACGGGAGGCAGCAGUGAGGAAUAUUGGUCAAUGGGCGCAGGCCUGAACCAGCCAAGUAGCGUGAAGGAUGACUGCCCUAUGGGUUGUAAACUUCUUUUAUAUGGGAAUAAAGUUUUCCACGUGUGGAAUUUUGUAUGUACCAUAUGAAUAAGGAUCGGCUAACUCCGUGCCAGCAGCCGCGGUAAUACGGAGGAUCCGAGCGUUAUCCGGAUUUAUUGGGUUUAAAGGGAGCGUAGGUGGACAGUUAAGUCAGUUGUGAAAGUUUGCGGCUCAACCGUAAAAUUGCAGUUGAUACUGGCUGUCUUGAGUACAGUAGAGGUGGGCGGAAUUCGUGGUGUAGCGGUGAAAUGCUUAGAUAUCACGAAGAACUCCGAUUGCGAAGGCAGCUCACUGGACUGCAACUGACACUGAUGCUCGAAAGUGUGGGUAUCAAACAGGAUUAGAUACCCUGGUAGUCCACACAGUAACCGAUGAAUACUCGCUGUUUGCGAUAUACAGUAAGCGGCCAAGCGAAAGCAUUAAGUAUUCCACCUGGGGAGUACGCCGGCAACGGUGAAACUCAAAGGAAUUGACGGGGGCCCGCACAAGCGGAGGAACAUGUGGUUUAAUUCGAUGAUACGCGAGGAACCUUACCCGGGCUUAAAUUGCAUUUGAAUAUAUUGGAAACAGUAUAGCCGUAAGGCAAAUGUGAAGGUGCUGCAUGGUUGUCGUCAGCUCGUGCCGUGAGGUGUCGGCUUAAGUGCCAUAACGAGCGCAACCCUUAUCUUUAGUUACUAACAGGUCAUGCUGAGGACUCUAGAGAGACUGCCGUCGUAAGAUGUGAGGAAGGUGGGGAUGACGUCAAAUCAGCACGGCCCUUACGUCCGGGGCUACACACGUGUUACAAUGGGGGGUACAGAAGGCAGCUACCUGGUGACAGGAUGCUAAUCCCAAAAGCCUCUCUCAGUUCGGAUCGAAGUCUGCAACCCGACUUCGUGAAGCUGGAUUCGCUAGUAAUCGCGCAUCAGCCAUGGCGCGGUGAAUACGUUCCCGGGCCU